AUGAUUUAAAUCGAAGUUAUAUAAAACCAACAUGAUUCAUAGUAAUAUAGUAUUUAUAUACACAUCUGAAAAGUGCAUGUUUUAUUAAAAUAUUUCCCAUCUUUUGAAAAUGCAUGUAAAUCAUGUGAUUCAUUAGUCUAUAUUUACAUACACGGAUCUGAUCUUUCAUUAAAUUGAAAUGUCGAAUUUCGCUGAUAACACUCAAUGAAAUAGUUGAUUUAUAAUCUUUAGAUUAAGUUUGGACAGGCCAAGAUUAACUGCAGCUUUUGAUUGUUCGUUGGUUAUAUUUUGCAUAAUCUAGGUAGUUUGUUUGUUUCAUGAAGGAACGUUUUGUUGAUAUUAUGUCUUAAUCAGAUUUUCUAUUCAAGGUUAUUUGGUGGCUCAGUAUAUCUGGUUGAAGAAAUUAGACAUUGACGGAGGCCAAUUGCUGGCCAUUGGAUGAGAUUGGAGAUCAGUUCUUCUGUUAAUACUUUCUUCAAUUAUUUAUUUUUUCUUCCCGAUGGGUUUAGUUUGAUAGCAUUUACUUUAUUUGAUUUGAUAAGUUGUCUUUUGAUCUAUGUGCUUAAGUAAUUAAUAGUAUUUAGGAAACUUAUACACGGUAUAACUUGGAUUCUAAGGUUGUGGUGGUUUGGUUUUUCAUGAUAAAUUGAGUGGUGUCGAUUUGGUUUUUUAGGGUAAAUUGUCAACUAGUUUGAUAAUGUAAAAUUGAAAAUUAUAACGCUCGGUACUUGGUUUGCUCAAAGGCAAUCAUGUCAGUAUUCACUACAAUCUGUCUGUGUUUGGGUCUAUCAUGUUAAUAUUUUUUAACCUUAAGUUUGUUUAGGUAAUAAUAAUAGUUGACAGGUGAUCUAUCAAGCGUGUUGAUGAUUUGCAUAAUUGGACAGUUAAUAGAGAAUUGACGAUAAAUCAUUGUUACUGAUGUUUACUAUAUAAUUCAGUGUUACUAAUAAGAAAUGGUUGUAGCUUUGAGGAGCGUUUAAUGACUUUGUGAUCAUGCCCUGUUGGUUUGAUUUAACAAUGAGGAUUACAUGGGCAGUAACUCUUGAAGGAUGUUUCCGUUGAUGGUAUUUCUCUUAUUUGGUUUGAUCAAUGCUCAUUUUUGACCAAGUGUGCUUAGCUGAUUAAUUGUUGUUAGGUAAGGUACAUUUGGUUGCUUUGACUUUAGUGACUUUUGGACAAGGAGCAUUUUGAUGACUUUGGGAUCAUGCCCUGUUGGUUUGAUUUAACAAUGAGGAAUACAUUGGCGGUAACCAUUGAAGUAUGCUUACUUUGAUAGUAUCUUGUAUUUGGUUUGAUCAAUGCUCAUAUUUGACCAAGUGUGCUGAACUGAUUAGUUGUCUUUAGGCAAGGUACAUCAGGUAGCUUGGAUUCUAGUGAAUUCCAUUUGGUGCCUGGAAGAUCUGAUUGAGGACUUGAUCUUUUCAAAAUUUUGUAGGAUAAAAUUAUCAACUGGUUGGAUCAGGAAACUGGUAUAUUCAUUAUAUGUCUGGCGCUUAGAUUUUUCUUAUAUAAAGGUUUUCAUGUCACCGGGCAGGGUGAGAUUGAGCUUGGACUUCUGAGAGUUGUGUGUUCUGCUGCCAGAGUAUAUCUAUACCUCUCCAUCAAUUGGAUGAUUAGUUUGCAAGGAAAUCAAAUUUAAUGGAUGUUAAUCAGGUCCUGUGAUUUUGUGAGAGCUUUGUUCACCAACCAGACUACAGAGACAUCAACUGGAAACUUAAUGCGACCAUGUGGUAAUCUGUUGGGUGGUAGAAUGAUAUCGAACUUGAAGGAUAGCAACUGUCAGACCAAUUGAAGACACAAAGGAUGCAAAAGGGACCAGCUGUAUGGUUAUCUAAUUACCAAUUAUUUUACUAAUUUGAGAUAUUUGUUACGUGGUUGAGAUUGUCGUCAAGCUGUUUUCUGGCUGGUAUACCGUUUAAGUUCAUAAUAAGAUGAUGAUACUUCUUCUGAUAAAUCUAUAGAUGGAUUGGAUUGCAUUGCAUUGCAUCGCAUCAAGAGGUUGUGAGCUCUUUUGAACUGUUUAUGAACACCAAGCCAAGGAAAGACAGGCAGUUCUUGAAUUACUGGGAAACCAAGCAAUGGCAUCAGAUUAUUUUGUCUCUUCUCUGUAUUUUCUAUUAUUUAGCUCCAUAUUGGUUCUGGUUUGUGGAGUUUAUGCUAUUUCAGAAUUUAGCUACUGUUUGAAAUAAGUAACUGUUGAUUGGAUUUCUUAUUCUGAUAACCUAGUAUAAUAUUGGAACCAAUUGUUUUUAUUAAUUUUA
Molecule: long non-coding RNA, 2261 nt
Organism: Dioscorea cayenensis subsp. rotundata (Guinea yam)
Lineage: Eukaryota; Viridiplantae; Streptophyta; Magnoliopsida; Dioscoreales; Dioscoreaceae
Exons: 3
Source: RefSeq, a predicted model, not a curated record